AUCCAGCUGAUGAGUCCCAAAUCGGACGAAAUGCGCGUCAUACUGGAU
Molecule: non-coding RNA, 48 nt
Organism: Schistosoma mansoni
Lineage: Eukaryota; Metazoa; Platyhelminthes; Trematoda; Strigeidida; Schistosomatidae
Source: Rfam